GUUCAAAGGGAGAUACCCACGCCGAGUACACCACUAACACUACCAGGAAAGUUUGCCACCACCUGCAUUGCAUCAUCAUCAUUCAUAUUCCAAAAUGCUCAACCAAAGUGGUCCGCUCUUUUUUCUCGCCAAAAAGCAAUUGCGAGUAUCCAUCACUCACAACUGUUCCAAACGCCGGUAAGAGGCUGCUGGAAACCGACGUUAAGUUCUUUAUUUCGCCGCUUGAGUGCCGCCGGAACAGCAAAGGUAUCGGCGACCGUGCUUCGGACACCGACGUGGACAUUGUGUUUUGGCCUUCUGCAAAUUCUAUGAUCCAGAAAAAAAGAGAGAGUCGAUUUUCAUGCACGCCUGAGACUUUUUAUACACACAAAAAAGGACUUCCACAUGGAAAAAAAAAAAGGAAGAUGUUGUGUUGGCAUUAGUGCGGUAUAAGGAUCUGGAAAAAGAAGGCAAAAUAUCUUUUACCAUCCUACGGUAAUUAAUAUACGCUCGAUGCAUUCGAGAUUCUAUUUUGCUUCAAGAAGCUGCAACACCAGAGCUCACACUUUGUUAAUCAUGCUCGAACAACAAAACUCCAUUAGAAUAAGGUUAGAAGACCACCCACCAUGAUUGCAAAUAAUGUUUCAGAGGGCUCGUUUUUCUUCUUACUUGUCCUAUUUUCUUUCUUCCUCAAUCUUGUACGAAAAAAAAAAAAAAAAAAUGAUACAUUGAAAACGAAAUCAAAACUAAAAUAAACGAAAAUACACCCAUCUAUUUAAAAUGUUUGAAAAUUGGGUAGAAAAUCAUUUACUUCAAUCAAUAAUACAACAAACUUUAGAUGGAUGCCCCAAUGUGGGUAUUUAUGUCAUCCAUUAGCCAUGCUUUGGCAAUGUGCAACCCAUUCAUUUUUUUUAUUGCACCCUUUGACAUUUACAAGGGAAGACUUCCAUAUCUUAGACUUUUAAAUUUGGUGAUGAGGUGGGAAAUUAAAUUAAAUAUCACAAAUACGUUGACAUCUAAUAUGUUCAUAAAAUUUAAGCUUAUUUUUGUAUAUCUUAUCUACUGAUUGGAUAAUGUUAAAAAAUGGCUACAACAAAAUAUAAUAUAAGGGAGAGAGAAUGACGGACUUUUAAUUUUACUUUGGUGGCAUCUACAGGUAAUGUGAUAAUACUUAAGGGAUUGAAUCUCAAGUGAAGCAUGCGAACGUCAUACUAUUGUUUAAGACUAUUGAAAUUUUACAGAAAGAAACAGUAAAUUAAGCCUACUUUUUGAACUUAAAAUUAUAGAGAAAAAAAUUUCUAUAGCAAAUUCUCUCUUUUUUGACAAUAACUUCAAGCACCCAAAGGACGUUACUUUAGGACUUCCCUACUAUUCUCUAACCAGAAAUAGGAUGGUGCGAUCCUUUUCUUUUGAAAGAAAGGGAAAGACUUUACAGAAGAUGGUUUUUCUCUGUAACCUUUGAGAGAGAGAUUUUUUAGAGUUAUCCUGUACAUGAAAUUUCUCAAUUUCAUAGAUAAUGCCGACAAUCUAUACUAUAAUUAUAGGAGAGAGAUGUGAGAGGGAGAAUAAUUCCCUCUUACACGUACACCACUCCU
Non-coding RNA from Benincasa hispida (wax gourd), 1574 nucleotides. The record is from RefSeq and is a predicted model, not a curated record. Lineage: Eukaryota; Viridiplantae; Streptophyta; Magnoliopsida; Cucurbitales; Cucurbitaceae.